Molecule: ribosomal RNA, 229 nt
Filed under: uncultured bacterium
Lineage: Bacteria
Description: partial 16S ribosomal RNA
Rfam family: Bacterial small subunit ribosomal RNA
Source: RNAcentral
GGUGUAGGCGGCUUUGCAAGUCAAGUGUGAAAUCCCAGGGCCCAACCCUGGAACUGCACUCGAUACUGCAUCGCUAGAGUCCCGGAGAGGAUGGCGGAAUUCCAGGUGUAGAGGUGAAAUUCGUAGAUAUCUGGAGGAACACCAGUGGCGAGGGCGGCCAUCUGGACGGUGGCUGACGCUCAGACCCGAAAGCGUGGGGAGCAAACAGGAUUAGAUACCCUGGUAGUCC